CCACUCUGCUGAGGUGGACGGCCGUCACGAGCGUCGUCCUUCCACGGAUAGAACAAGCUAGUAAUACCUCUCUGUGGAUGGUCAAUAAAUAAGAAGACUGAAUCCUAGCUGGAGCGAUAAUCCACUGCCCAUAGUUAGCUUAGCUCUUCCACUCAGCAGCGCAGCCAGUUCAUCCAGAUGUGUCCUGAUUUACUGAACAUCACUGAGCAACAUCCGUGUUGCUAGCUGCACGGCUUCCCACACAUUUUAAUCUGCAUCACUUCUUGGGCUCGUCGUCCUUGUUUAUAUAGAUGACACUUAACAUAAAAA
Poecilia latipinna (sailfin molly) is the source of this 309-nucleotide long non-coding RNA. RefSeq lists it as uncharacterized. Lineage: Eukaryota; Metazoa; Chordata; Actinopteri; Cyprinodontiformes; Poeciliidae. The record is from RefSeq and is a predicted model, not a curated record. The transcript has 2 exons.